Molecule: transfer RNA, 78 nt
Filed under: Blattabacterium sp. (Blattella germanica) str. Bge
Lineage: Bacteria; Pseudomonadati; Bacteroidota; Flavobacteriia; Flavobacteriales; Blattabacteriaceae
Description: tRNA-Gly
Rfam family: tRNA
About the family: Transfer RNA (tRNA) molecules are approximately 80 nucleotides in length.
Source: RNAcentral
GGCGAGAAUAGCUCAGUUGGUAGAGCACGACCUUGCCAAGGUCGGGGCCGCGGGUUCAAUUCCCGUUUCUCGCUUUUU